CUAGGACCAAAAGGGGGUCAGACUUAGUGAGUUAAGGUUAUAGUACUGGCUGAGUUAGUCAGGACAAGAGCAGAUUCUGUUAGGAUCAUUUCACUCAGCUGUAGUUCACAAACUAUCAAAAAUCAGUAUAGAGGGCUGGAAUAUAAUUGCUGCGGAGAGGGAUUGGCUUGUAAAACACAUCCUAUUAUCAGCUGUGAUCAAGCUUACAAAUUCCCCAGUCCAAGUAUCUGCUCAGAUUGCCUUUUGCGGGGGGCGGGUAGGGAGG
Molecule: long non-coding RNA, 265 nt
Organism: Mauremys mutica (yellowpond turtle)
Lineage: Eukaryota; Metazoa; Chordata; Testudines; Geoemydidae
Exons: 3
Source: RefSeq, a predicted model, not a curated record